UGGGGAAUCUUGCACAAUGGGCGAAAGCCUGAUGCAGCGACACCGCGUGAAGGAUGACGGCCUUCGGGUUGUAAACUUCUUUUGUAGGGGAAGAAAAUGACGGUACCCUGCGAAUAAGCCACGGCUAACUCUGUGCCAGCAGCCGCGGUAAGACAGAGGUGGCGAGCGUUGUUCGGAAUUACUGGGCUUAAAGGGCGCGUAGGCGGUGAUAUAAGUCUAGGGUGGAAUACUGCAGCUUAACUGCGGAACUGCCUUGGAAACUGUAUUGCUUGAGUCGGACAGGGGAAGGCGGAAUUCCAGGUGUAGCGGUGAAAUGCGUAGAUAUCUGGAGGAAGGCCUGUGGUGAAGACGGCCUUCUGGGUCUUGACUGACGCUGAGGCGCGAAAGCGUGGGGAGCAAACAGG
Molecule: ribosomal RNA, 404 nt
Filed under: uncultured bacterium
Lineage: Bacteria
Description: bacterial SSU rRNA
Rfam family: Bacterial small subunit ribosomal RNA
Source: RNAcentral